Non-coding RNA from Odocoileus virginianus texanus, 401 nucleotides. The record is from the annotation of a RefSeq genome assembly. Lineage: Eukaryota; Metazoa; Chordata; Mammalia; Artiodactyla; Cervidae.
AGAUAUUUUCCAUCUAGUGGAAGAGCUGAAACAUGCUUCUCUCAAGCCUUCUGAAGGUGGCCAUGGCUUCAUUGUGUUUAGGAUCCAUUAUUGCCCAGAAGGUAACUCAAGACCCACAACCAAUGUUAGUAUGGGAGAAAGAGGUUGUGACCCUGGACUGCACUUAUGACACCAGUGAAUCAAAUUAUAAUCUUUUCUGGUACAAGCAGCUCAGCAGUGGGGCAAUGAUUUUUCUCCUUCGUCAGGAUUCUUAUAACAAGCAAAAUGCCACAGAAGGUCGCUACUCAUUGAAUUUCCAGAGAGCAAGCAAAUCCAUCACACUUGUCAUCUCAGCUUCACAGCUUGAGGACUCUGCAGUGUAUUUUUGUGCUCUGAGAGAGACCACAGUGAGACGCAAGUAG